RNAcentral lists this unclassified non-coding RNA (336 nucleotides) under soil metagenome. Its description in RNAcentral is "partial contains 5.8S ribosomal RNA, internal transcribed spacer 2, and large subunit ribosomal RNA". The stretch from base 1 to 120 matches the Rfam family "5.8S ribosomal RNA", at positions 35 to 154 of the family's 154-position model. The record is from RNAcentral.
GAUGAAGAACGCAGCGAAAUGCGAUAAGUAAUGUGAAUUGCAGAAUUCAGUGAAUCAUCGAAUCUUUGAACGCACAUUGCGCCCGCCAGUAUUCUGGCGGGCAUGCCUGUUCGAGCGUCAUUUCAACCAUCAAGCCCCCGGCUUGUGUUGGGGACCUGCGGCUGCCGCAGGCCCUGAAAAGCAGUGGCGGGCUCGCUGUCACACCGAGCGCAGUAGCGUACCUCUCGCUCCGGGCGUGGCGGCGGGCGCCGGCCGUGAAACCCCCUACAUCAAAAAGGUUGACCUCGGAUCAGGUAGGAAUACCCGCUGAACUUAAGCAUAUCAAUAAGCGGAGGA